Molecule: transfer RNA, 76 nt
Filed under: Klebsiella pneumoniae
Lineage: Bacteria; Pseudomonadati; Pseudomonadota; Gammaproteobacteria; Enterobacterales; Enterobacteriaceae
Also listed under: 34 other names
Description: tRNA-Asp
Rfam family: tRNA
About the family: Transfer RNA (tRNA) molecules are approximately 80 nucleotides in length. Their secondary structure includes four short double-helical elements and three loops (D, anti-codon, and T loops).
Source: RNAcentral
GGACCUAUAGUUUCAGCGGUUAAAAUACUCGCCUGUCACGCGAGAGUCACGGAUUCGAAUUCCGUUAGGUCCGCCA